ACCCUGAGCCAAUAUAAUUACUGUUUAGGAUGUAUAGAGGUUAGUAAACAAUCUAUGCUUUAAUAUAUCUCACCAACCCUGAGCCAAUAUAAUUACUGUUUAGGAAGUAUAGAGGUUAGUAAACAAUCUAUGCUUUAAUAUAUCUCACCAACCCUGAGCCAAUAUAAUUACUGUUUUGGAUGUAUAGAGGUUAGUAAACAAUCAAUGCUUUAAUAUAUCUCACCAACCCUGAGCCAAUAUAAUUACUGUUUUGGAAGU
Long non-coding RNA from Eriocheir sinensis (Chinese mitten crab), 258 nucleotides. RefSeq lists it as uncharacterized. The record is from RefSeq and is a predicted model, not a curated record. The transcript is spliced from 3 exons. Lineage: Eukaryota; Metazoa; Arthropoda; Malacostraca; Decapoda; Varunidae.